RNAcentral lists this ribosomal RNA (339 nucleotides) under Triticum aestivum (bread wheat). RNAcentral describes it as "partial small subunit ribosomal RNA". The record is from RNAcentral. Lineage: Eukaryota; Viridiplantae; Streptophyta; Magnoliopsida; Poales; Poaceae.
AUGCCAUCUCUCAAGCAGCAAACUAGCAGCACGUACGCUGGCGGCCAGCCACCAAGCUCCCUCAUGCACGUAGCAGCGAAGCAGCAGAUGCGAGGCAGCUGCAAGCGGCAGCACAUGCACACGGCGGGAAGGCAGCAACUCACCAACCACACGCCGGCGCGCAGCGGCACCAACAACCUCGGAGGCCACGAGCCACAUGCGUCGUCGAUGGCGCCACCAAGAGCGGCGGCCAGGCUCAUCUCGCAUAGACGCGUCUUCUUGCUGAGCAGCAGCACCCGCACGCUCCGGCAAGCCAACAACGAACCGGCCAAGCUAGCACACAAGCAGUGGACAGGCUAG